Molecule: transfer RNA, 72 nt
Filed under: Bos taurus (domestic cattle)
Lineage: Eukaryota; Metazoa; Chordata; Mammalia; Artiodactyla; Bovidae
Also listed under: 2 other names
Rfam family: tRNA
About the family: Transfer RNA (tRNA) molecules are approximately 80 nucleotides in length. Their secondary structure includes four short double-helical elements and three loops (D, anti-codon, and T loops).
Source: Rfam by way of RNAcentral
UCCCUGUUAGCUCAGCUUGUAAAGUAUCUGCCUGUAAUGCAGGAGACCCCGGUUCCAUUCCUGGGUCGGGAA